RNAcentral lists this ribosomal RNA (440 nucleotides) under uncultured bacterium. Its description in RNAcentral is "partial 16S ribosomal RNA". It matches the Rfam family "Bacterial small subunit ribosomal RNA", at positions 358 to 790 of the family's 1533-position model. The record is from RNAcentral.
GGAAUCUUCCACAAUGGACGCAAGUCUGAUGGAGCAACGCCGCGUGAGUGAAGAAGGCUUUCGGGUCGUAAAACUCUGUCAUUGAAGAAGAACGUGUGUAACAGUAACUGGUCAUGCAGUGACGGUAUUCAAUCAGAAAGUCACGGCUAACUACGUGCCAGCAGCCGCGGUAAUACGUAGGUGGCAAGCGUUGUCCGGAUUUAUUGGGCGUAAAGCGAGUGCAGGCGGUCUUUUAAGUCUGAUGUGAAAGCCUUCGGCUUAACCGAAGAAGGGCAUCGGAAACUGGGAGACUUGAGUGCAGAAGAGGAGAGUGGAACUCCAUGUGUAGCGGUGAAAUGCGUAGAUAUAUGGAAGAACACCAGUGGCGAAGGCGGCUCUCUGGUCUGUAACUGACGCUGAGGCUCGAAAGCGUGGGUAGCAAACAGGAUUAGAUACCCUGG